RNAcentral lists this ribosomal RNA (508 nucleotides) under uncultured Lachnospiraceae bacterium. RNAcentral's name for it is "partial 16S ribosomal RNA". The record is from RNAcentral. Lineage: Bacteria; Bacillati; Bacillota; Clostridia; Lachnospirales; Lachnospiraceae.
CACGUAGUUAGCCGGGGCUUCUUAGUCAGGUACCGUCAUUUUCUUUCCUGCUGAUGGAGCUUUACGUACCGAAAUACUUCUUCACUCACGCGGCGUCGCUGGAUCAGGGUUUCCCCCAUUGUCCAAUAUUCCCCACUGCUGCCUCCCGUAGGAGUUUGGGCCGUGUCUCAGUCCCAAUGUGGCCGUCCACCCUCUCAGGCCGGCUACUGAUCGUCGCCUUGGUGGGCCGUUACCCCGCCAACCAGCUAAUCAGACGCGGGCCCAUCCCAUACCACCGGAGUUUUUCACACACCUUCAUGCGAAGCUGUGCGCUUAUGCGGUUUUAGCACCUGUUUCCAGGUGUUAUCCCCCGGUAUGGGGCAGGUUGCCCACGCGUUACUCACCCGUCCGCCACUAACUUACACUUCCGUUAGUCAAUGCAAGCAUCUCCUGCUUCUGUGUAAGUCCGUUCGACUUGCAUGUGUUAGGCACGCCGCCAGCGUUCAUCCUGAGCCAGGAUCAAAACUCU